Molecule: ribosomal RNA, 489 nt
Filed under: uncultured bacterium
Lineage: Bacteria
Description: bacterial SSU rRNA
Rfam family: Bacterial small subunit ribosomal RNA
Source: RNAcentral
AGAGUUUGAUCAUGGCUCAGAACGAACGCUGGCGGCGCGCCUAACACAUGCAAGUCGAGCGCGAAAGGGGCUUCGGCCCCGAGUAGAGCGGCGAACGGGUGAGUAACACGUGGGUAACCUACCUCCGGGACCGGAAUAACCUUCCGAAAGGAGGGCUAAUGCCGGAUAAGCUCACGGCGACUACGGUCGCAGUGGGAAAAGCUGGCCUCUGCAUGCAAGCUGGCGCCUGGAGAUGGGCCCGCGGCCCAUCAGCUAGUUGGUAGGGUAACGGCCUACCAAGGCGACGACGGGUAGCUGGUCUGAGAGGACGAUCAGCCACACUGGGACUGAGACACGGCCCAGACUCCUACGGGAGGCAGCAGUGGGGAAUCUUGCGCAAUGGGCGAAAGCCUGACGCAGCGACGCCGCGUGGGUGAUGAAGGCCUUCGGGUCGUAAAGCCCUUUCGACCGGGAAGAACGACCCCGCGGUGAACAGCCGUGGGGAGAGAC